Small nuclear RNA from Hibiscus syriacus, 157 nucleotides. RefSeq annotates it as U1 spliceosomal RNA. The record is from RefSeq and is a predicted model, not a curated record. Lineage: Eukaryota; Viridiplantae; Streptophyta; Magnoliopsida; Malvales; Malvaceae. The transcript has a single exon.
AUACUUACCUGGACGGGGUUGAUGGGUGAUCAGUAAGAUCCAUGGCCUAGGUUGGUGGCUUUCAUUGCACUCAGAAGGUGCACCUGCCUAACGUCUCCCCGAGUGGGAGAGCCUACGUCAUUAUUUGUUUACAAGUUAAUGUUUCUGUUAUUUAAUC